GGCCUGAUGGUCUAGUAGUAUGAUUCCUUGUUAGGGUCCUUCGGGGCAUUUCGAGGAGGUCCCGGGUUCAAUUCCCGGUCAGGCCC
Phlegmacium glaucopus is the source of this 86-nucleotide non-coding RNA. The record is from the annotation of a GenBank genome assembly. NCBI's taxonomy places the organism in Eukaryota, Fungi, Basidiomycota, Agaricomycetes, Agaricales, Cortinariaceae.